Molecule: long non-coding RNA, 2437 nt
Organism: Oreochromis aureus
Lineage: Eukaryota; Metazoa; Chordata; Actinopteri; Cichliformes; Cichlidae
Exons: 3
Source: RefSeq, a predicted model, not a curated record
ACAUAAGAGGCAGUGUUUGUGCAAACGGAGUGAAUAUAGUGUGCAUGCCAUUAUCAGCUAAAUGUGUUUGACUUGUCAUUCAUUCACUUCUACUCCCUCUACCUCAAUGAAAAUAACAAAAGACAACUGUAGACAUGUGGAGCUCUGUCUGAAAAUCUGAGUCACCUUGAAUCAGACACCAGCCUAUCCUGGUUACUGUGUAACAAAGUGGCACUGAUGUCAGCACAACUGCAGCUCAGCAUCAGGGCACAUCAAAGGAUGACUAACCAAAAACCAAGAAAGGCCGAGACGACUGUAGAUUUAUUGAGCAAAUCAGCAGGCUGACAUCUUCUUCAAAGCCCGUCUGCAGUAAAUCUGAGUCAAACUACAAAGAGCUUCCAUCUCUCUGUUCUUUGCUCCCUGGAUGGUCAUCGUUUUGACAUACCCACUGCAGAGUCAAAGAAGCCCUUUAAAAUCACUGCAAAUCUAUUUACUCUCUUAUUUUUGUUUACAAAGCUAAGAAGUACCUGAGGGGAAGCAGGUAAGACGAGCAGUGAUGCAAUCAUGAGCUGUUUUCCUCCACCUGGUUUUUUUCUCUGCAGUCUGGGAGAGGUUUGUCAUCUGUGCUAUUACACAAUCACACAGCUCCUUCAUUAUUAAUAGUUAGAGCAUAAUAAUUAGGAUUAUUAUCAGAAAAUAUCUACAGAUGUCCAGUAAAUAUGUUCCUCUGAAGUGAUAAAUACAUCUAGUAAAAGAGGGUUUUUUUUGCCCUUUGUGUUGUUAUUCUUAUUGUUGUUUUUUUUAACAGAACACAUCUUUCACUGGUUUGAAUGUCCAAAGAAAAUAACUCUGUGAAUUGCAUUUAAACUUUAAAACACAACAAAACCAGAGGUUGGAUUAAUGAUAUCUGAUAUUAUGUCCUCAACUAGUAGCUAUUAUAAUAACUCGUAAUGUGAGACAAGUCAUGCAUAAGACAAAUCAUCAACCAAAUUAGUUGUUUUCUUUAAGUCUAGGGACUAUUUUAUUCCUCUUUGGCUCAAUCUCACUAUUUUCCUAAAUGCAGCAUCCACAGCACAGCUGAUUUUGGCAAUGAAAAGCUUGAGAAACCAAAAGAACAUAACCUGCCCAACACCACACAGUAAGAAGACAGUUAAUAUGUAGCUGGUGGACAUAGUGGAGCAAUUAGCGGCUAAAGAGCCAGAUGUUUUCCCCAGGAGCUGAUGGACAACAAACAGGGCUAACAUGAAAACAAAUGUUAGAUUUUGUUCGAGACGUGGAUCAAAGUGAAAAUCAAAGCUAAUAACAGGCCCUUCCCCCCCAGAUGAGCAAGGGCACAUCCUAAUAAGUCGAGGCUGACUUUGAGUUCAAGCUCAGCUCUCCCGAGGGGAAACUCCUUGGUUUAAACCAUUGCGCCACAAAAUCUUAUGCUCUAUGAGUGGCCAAAAUCUUACGUCAUGGCCUCGAUUUUCUAUACCCUGAAUAAAGUGCCUAGGGGAGGAGGUGCAGGAGUCUAGUUUCCUGUUAGACCACUUGAAUUACAUACACUGAAAGGCUGGAGGGUUCUUUUUUUCCCCAAGAUUGCCAAAAACCGUCACCUACACCCAGCCCUUCCCACCAUGCAGAAGGUGAAUGAGAGCUAGAAAAAUAGAAGCAAUCACUGUCAGUGAAUGACGGUUCGUGUUACCCAUAUUAUCCUUUCCUUUCUACAGGAAGAGGUGUAUUCUUUCUUUCUUUUGGUGGUUUUUCUUGUCUUUGUCUUUGCAUUGGAACCCUUAACUAUCUGCCCUCUACUUUCACCCCAUAUUCUUCAGCAUUCAUUACUUUUAUUCGUUCUCUAUUUUUUUAGGAGUUACUUAGCACUCAUUAAAAAAAAACCUGCAUGUAUUAUUUUAAUACCAGAAUCUCAUGAGGCAAGCUUUAAAAGAAAAACCACAAUUUUAAAAAUUCCUGCAAGCAAAUCUUGCAGCAGAUGUAGCUCCUGAUUGGUAACAGAUUUACCGCAUUCACGGGAAAAAGUUUGACCCUGCUUUUCAGAUCACACCACAUUUGGUAGCUGUAUGUCCCUGCAUUGAAAAUGGUUAGAGCUUUGUAAUGGCAAAUGCUAGAAACAAUGGUGACACGUACAGUGCUGGAGCGCCUCAUGGGAAAGCAAAAAGCUGCAAGGAAAUCAUGAAGCUUAAUUCAUGUGGUAACAAUAUUGCUGAGUCAGAAAUGAAAAACAGAUGACGCUAUAACAAAAGACCACCGCGGCCCCAUGGCUGCCUCAAAAGAAUGCUGCAGACCUAUACACCUAACAUUAGCAAGUUGAUAUGAACACACAGAAAAUGCAUGUAUUUUUACCUAUAUCUGAAGAUGUACAUGCCUAUUCCACGUGUACUCUUACAUCAAAAUUUUAAACCCUCUGAUUGAGAGGCUAAUUGUGAGCAGGUGUUUGCGUUUAUAUAAAAUGCUGCUAAAA